Molecule: long non-coding RNA, 18409 nt
Filed under: Fragaria vesca (wild strawberry)
Lineage: Eukaryota; Viridiplantae; Streptophyta; Magnoliopsida; Rosales; Rosaceae
Description: long non-coding RNA (FVES_LNC002711)
Source: RNAcentral
CACAUGUCUUCUGUGACGACCAAACCUCUGUUCCACUUGAGGAAAUACCCUCACAAGAAUUCUAUACAUAGUUCCGUAAUACCAUAUCCUCCAUCUCUUGCAAAACAAAAGUGAUCCGAUAGCAAUACCCAACCCACAUGCGAAUCCAAUCUCAACACUGAUAACAUUCCAAUCAAUCUCAUCUCUAGAAUUUGGAUGACUUUUUUCUGGUUCCGGCGGUGACAACCUUGUUUUGUUUUCUUCGGUCAAGGGAGGCCCAAACAAACCUUUGUUUCCUUCAAAGGAAGAUUUUUGAAAUGUUGGAAAUUGAUUACUGCUCGGAAUUCUGCCCUCGAGUUGAUUGUUUGAGAGAUUCAAGAAUGAAAGGAAAGUGAGUUUUGUAAGCUGUACUGGAAUUUGACCACUCAAGGUGUUAUGUGAGAGGUCUAAAGACUCUAGCUGGCUCAAGUUGCUUAAUGAUGAUGGAAUUUCACCUGUGAAAGCAUUGUUUGAGAAAUCGAGGACAUGUAGUGAUUUGAGUUCUCCGAUUUCAUCGGGUAUAGAUCCAGUGAACUUGUUGUUUGAGAAGUCAAUGGAGGUGAAGAUUGUAAGUAUUUUUUCCAACUCCAUCUCUUGACCUUUGUUGGUAACUGUAACAGUAUCUUGAUAAUAAUCACUACUAGUUCCAUUUUUGUCAUGAUAUUGAAGGUAAUUGAGCUUUGAUGGGGCAUCAUCUUCAUUAGCCAUCAUUGCUUGCCAAGUUGUCAAAACUCUACCUGGUACAUUUCCACUAAAAUUGUUGUGAGCUAGGUCUAUAAUUUGAAGCAUUGGCCAAGUGCCAUUAGUCUUGGGACAUCCAACGCCUCCAUAAAACUUAUUGGAUCGCAAGACUAUGACAUGCAACGUAGAUAUGAUCUUCAAAAAGCAUGGAAAUGGACCUGUUAUUUGAUUCUUUCCAACGUUUAGAACUUGUAACUGCGGACAGUUGAUAAGUGAUUUUGGCAACUGACCUUGUAUCUGAUUAUCACUAAUGUCUAGUGUUUGCAAACUGCAAUUGAGAGACAACUUGGCUACAUUUCUAAGAUUGUUUCUCCUUAGCUUCAGUACUAAAAGGGUGCUCAUUGUAGUCAAGCAGUGAGGAACCGUUCCACUCAAGGAAUUAUUGGACAUAUCAAGAACCUCAAGGUUAUGUGAAUUGCAUAUUGAUCCUGGAAUGAUCCCUUGUAGGUUGUUGCUUGCAAUAAAGAAGAAUCGAGUGUUAGGAAGCAGAUCUUCAAUGGCAGUCGGUAUGUUAGUGCUGAAGUUAUUCCUAGAGUAAUCUAGAUAAUACAUGUUAGGUGACAAUGAAAUUGGGAUUUUCCCAUGGAGCUGGUUAGAAUGAAGGUCAAGGAAUUCUAGAGAAGUGAGAUUGAUUGUAGGACCUUCAAGAGUUUCUAGAGAGUUGCAUGAAAGAUUUAGGUCAGAGAGAUAAUCGAACCUCCAAAUCCAGUUGGGUAUAUUGCCCUGUAUUUGGUUAUCCGAAAGAUCCAAAUACACCAAUUGAGAUUGAUUUCUCAAGAAAUGAGGGAAUGUUCUUAACUUCAGUGAAGCCAACCCCAAGGAUUCAAAUUGAGGAAAAUAGGAGUGUGAGUAAUUGGUAGCAUCAUGGCUAAGAGACAAGCUAUUGUGUGAAAGAUCAAGAUAAGAAAGAUUUCUGAGAUGUUGAAGACUAUCCAGAAGAAAUGAGCCACUGAAAUUGUUUGAAGAAAGAGAAAGAAGUUCAAGACCCUGAAAGUCAAAGAUAGACAUGGGUAUUGGCCCUUCCAGAUUAUUUAUACUCAAAUAAAGUCGUUUGAGAAAGUAUGAUGAGAUAUUAGAAAUUUCAGGAAAAUGACCAGAGAAUUGGUUAUCAUCAAGAUAUAGAGUCUCUAGCAAGGGAAGAGAAAACAGAGCUGAUGGAAUAUUCCCAUUGAGCAUAUUUCCACCUAAGUCGAGAUAGGAUAGGUUAGAAAAGUUUUUCCAGGGGAUGCAAUUAAUAUUACCUGUUAGACCAUUUGAAAAGAGGUCUAUGCGCUCUAGAUUCUUGGCCCCACUGAAUGACGGAAUUGAACCUUCAAACUUGUUUCCAGACAUCUCCAAGUAAACCAAUUGCGUAAGGUUUGCCAUCGACUUGGGGAUUGAUCCUGUAAAAUUACAGCCUUCGAUACCAAUUGUGGACAGCAUCUUGAGGUUGCCAAUAGAGUUUGGUAAUGCCCCUGAAAAAUUAGUCCCCCAUAGAUACAGGUCCUGAAGAGAACCAUUUUUUGAGAAUUCUGGCAAGGAACCAUCAAGGUUUUCAUUUCUGGAAACGCUAAUCUUACGGAGGGAAGGUAACUGAAAGAUUUCUUUCGGAAAUGUUCCCUGCAGAUUACAAUCUGCGAGAUCCAGGGAUGUCAAGUUUGAAAAGUUGGCAAAGAAUGUCGGAACUGGAGCAGAGAUGUUGUUCGAGUCCAAUUGAAUCACAGAGAGGGACUGGAGCUUAGCAAGAGAAUCGUGGAAAGGGCCAGAAAGAUUACAACUGGACAAACUCAACACCCUAAGGUUGGGAAGGGAAGAUGAUAUGGCUUGGCACCACUCACUACCCCCUGCUGAUAUUUGGACAGAGUCAAGGUGCAACUCUCUAAGCUCUGUGAGGUUCUCUACCAGCAUGUGUAAAGUUGGGAUCUCAAGGGGAUCCCCCUCAAAGAAGAAGGAAGACAAUUUAGAAAUAUCAAGAACUACCAACCUCGUCAAGCGUGAGAUCUCAAUCGGAAUUUUCCCUGAAUAAUAAUUGUGAGAUAAAUUCAGAUACCUCAAGUUCAUGAGCUUCCCGAAUGCUGAUGGAAUUGAUUGAGAGUCGUUGCCAAGGUAGUUGUGUGCCAAAUUGAGGCUUUGAAGAUUUUGAAGAUGGAAGAGGCUGCUAGAAUUGUCAAUACCACCUGAGAUAGAUUCACUGCUGAUGUCAAGGCCCGAAACACUGUCAUUGGUGCUGCAAGUAACGCCGACCCAAGAACAACAAUCGGUACUUGAGUUCCAGGUAAUAAGCUUGGUGGAAAGAGAGGCGUUAAAUAAGAGGUCGCUCUUGAAAUGGAGCAAUGAUUGUUGCUGGUCUGGUAUACACUUGCUAUGGACUACAGGGUUGAUGAUGAUACUAACACAGAGCGAGACAAAGAAAAGGAAGAAAUGAGGCUGAUUAGUUUUCAUUUUGGAUUAGCAGAAAACUUAGUGGUUAUGUGAAGAAUUCUUAAUGGUUAUGUUGGCUUUUAUAAGGUGAAAGAGGAUAACUCAUUAACUCCUCUGAGAUUUGUAACCACUAGAAAUAUUAUGAUAGAAUGCAGAAGACUUUGGCCGGCCCUACAAGGACCAUGAGAGUCAGUCACACUGGAAGCUAGGCUCUGUGUUCAAACGUUUGUAUUGGAAAAUGUUGAAAAUUCUAUUAUAUAGAUAGUUCAUAGAACUGCUCGACAUGGACAAUACAUAUAUUUCGAAUGCCGAAAUUACUUAUUUUUCUAGUAAUGAUUUUUGUUGACAAGCUUAGAUGCAUGGUUAUGUGGUCAUGCAGACCGUAGUAGCAUAAAAGUUUAAGAAUUAUAUGUAGUGUGUUAUCUUUCACAUAUCACUUGGUUUUUUGAUCAUCUGUAAUUUGAGUUAUGUCAUCCGUUUGACGAAGAUGAGGUGACAUGAGGAUGCCCCUUCUUAUACGCCAAGAGGGGUAAUGAUAUUGUGGUGAUGGAAUUGGUCGCUUUCAAGGUUACUGUGGAAAGAGGCUACCAUGAGAUGUGUGGUUGUUGCAUGACUAUGAAGUCUUCCCCAUCUGCAGAAGGCUGUUUUCUUCAAUGUAAAUUUCCUACUAAUUUGAAUAUUUGAUGUAGAUGUUGAUACGGAAGCUCAAAAUAGUUCAUCAAACUGAGGCAUUGUUAAUAUGGAACCUCAAAAUAGUUCAUUAAAUCAGGUUGAAUGCAUAAGAGCCUCAGUUUUUGAAUUAUGUCAGUAAAAGCAACAAUGCCUCAGUUCAUCAGAAUUCAAAUAGUAGUUAAAAGUUUAAAACUCAGAUGCUCAGUGCUCAAACCCACUCCCACCUAUCAACCUCCUCUCCCUCGCCGACUCCUUCUGUUGGGGAUCAUGGCAUCAAUGUUUCAUCAGCUAGGCUAUUCUACUCUAGGCUAUUCACAAAAUCCAUGAAUGCCUCCUUCUCAACCUCAGUCAACUGCUCGGCCUCGAUUAGCUUAUCUCCUCAAGUUCGUCAAAUUUCCAAUCGAAUCGUAAGACCAGAGGCGCUUCCGGCUCCCUUGGGAAGAGUAUAUCAACCUCAGUAUCGAUCGGCUUCUUCGAAUUCUUCUCCUCCUCCUUCGGAUUCAUCAUAUACGGCAUACAAUACUGGAACUGGAACCAACGGUCCUCCUUCAUCUGCUUAAUGCUCGCCUUCCUCUGCGUGCAUCCCAGCACGAAAAUCUGAGGCAAGUUGGAACCACCAGACGACUUGGCUGCUCUCUCGGAACUCCAGCCUUCUCUUUGCUCCAGAGGAAUGUAAGGGAUCCAAUCCAUCUUCAUAUACCUCAUCGGAACUAUCACCUUCUCCUCCUCUUUUUUUUUCUGCACGGCCCUGACCGCAAUCUCCAUCGACGGCGGUCGAGGCGCCACCACCGCCACCAGAUUCGGAAUCAGAACCGUAGGAUCCCAUAUAUUUCUAGUCUCCUUCUUCUUCAAAUUCCGUUGAAUUUGCCUCCUUCUUCUUCAAAUUCCUUCUCGAGAUUCGAGAAAUCCCAGUCAUGUUGGUACACUGAGUCCAAGCGAUCCAACUCACGCAAAGUGUUUGUUCUGCAUUCACUUUUGUGUUGCCUUGAUCCACAAUCCGAUUGAUGUUGAAUCUUGUUGACUAUUAUAUCAGGACGUGUUGACAAUGUGUAUGGUGACCGCAAUCUCAUCUGCACUCUUCAACCAGAGCCAGUGGAGGAAGCAGCAGCAGCCACUGCUUAGUCUUCAGCUCGAUCCAAUCCUCGUCGUCGCCGCCAAAGUCCGGUCAUGAAUAGCCCAACUGAAUGCCACAUCUUCCCUUCCCUUCACAAAGAAAAGAAAUCAUCAUCUCCUUCCACAUUCCCACAUUGUAUAUAAUUUUCUCCGUAUCUAAAUACACGUACAGCUCGCCAUAUAUAGCUGGUGACAUUCAUUUCCCUAUUAUGAUGAUGACGAUUAGCUUUUCUAAUAACAGCUGCUGUUGCUAUUUGCAACUCAGAUGUUGUAAUUAUAAUUUUCGCUGGGUGAGGAGGUUGAUAGAGAAAGAGAGAGAUGGGUGAGGACGUUGAUCAUGAUCAAGCACUACUAGUACCAGUUCUUGAAUUUUCGAAGGAGUGUUUGGUCCCAAAGAAAGAGAGGAGUGAGGAAUGGAGAGCUAUGAGCACCAAAGUGAGAGAGGCAUGUGAGAGUCAUGGCUGCUUUCUGCUGUUGGUGCAGGAAGAGGUGAUGCCGAUGCGCUUACGUGAAGACAAGGUGAUGGCCAUGAAAGCUUUGUUUGAUCUCGCUGAAGAGACCAAGCAGAAGCACACAAUCCCCAGGGCUUACCAGAGCUACCAAGGCAAGUGCCCCAUCAUUCCCUUGAACGAAAGCUUGGGGAUCGACAAUGCAUGCCAGCUUGAUGUAGCUGAGUCCUUCACCAACCUCAUGUGGCCUCAAGGGAACUCUUCUUUUUGGUGAUUUCUCUAAUAAAUUUACACUCACAUUUGAAGUAGUUAAUUUCCCCCAUUUAUGUAUCUGUUCUCUUUUUGGUCCAAGUUUCUCCAUUUCAAUGCAAGAUAAUAGCUAGAUUAAUUAAUAGCUAUAGUAAUGUUGUUUUGCUAGUUAUUUGAGAUCUAAUCAAGCUUCUAACUGGGAAUCUAAAUUAUAUAAUAUAUUUAUGAAAGAAUUCACAUACAUACUAGACCGACAUCUAAAUUGAGAAUAAUCUCGCAAUUUAGGUUAUUAAUUUGUGUUCAAACAUGCUCUAUCAGCUAUUUCAGCUCUUGCUUUCCAAAAGUGAAGCUAGAGAAUUGUAAUGAGAGGUGGACGGUUUCGUUUGAGUGAUCCGGUGGUGAUGUAUUUAUACACUACAAUUCCUUAAUCAAUCAUGAUUGGGAAACUUUAUCGUAAUAGGAUUACAACGAGCAGAGUUACUUGGUUCUCUUAAUGAAAAACUCAUAAACAAUCUUAAUUCAAGUAGAUUAUACUCAAAAUUUCAAAUAUGAUUCCAUUCGGAGUAUUGAAUUAAUUAAGACAUUUUCCUGAAAUGAAACUUAGAAUAUGAACUCAAUCAAUAAUGACUUUCAAACGAAACCACUGAUUUACUUCAAACACAUUUUUUUGUAGUCUUAUGUACGUUACGACUUCCUUGUAUCACUACAUGAUGAUUUUGAUUGGUGUUGUUUGGGAUUUAGUUUCGGGAAGUCUGAUGAGAUAUAUUGUAUUGUGGAAUUCUGUGUUUCUAUAUUAGUUGUGUAUUUAAUUCUAGAGGUUGGCAUAUGACUUGAAGAUACUCUAAGCAUGCUGAGCAAGAAUGCAUGUAUGGCCAUGUUGAUUCUUGUUAGCAAUGAUCCAACUCUUUUAUUUGCUUACUAGUUGUCUCCGGAACUCUAUGUUACCUUUGUUCGAAUACUAAUAUGACAUACUCGAGCACCAAAAUUCUUGAUCCCAACAUGUAACAUACAUAUACAUUCGUACUCAUCAAAGUGCAGGCAUGUGAUAAUUGUUAACAAUCAAACUCAAAGAACAUUCAACAGAGGGACACGCUUUGUAAUUUGGCACAGUUUUACAGUUUCAACGUACAGAUGUGAAGAAAACUCAAUUCAUCAACAAACAUAAUCGAAAAAGAGAUAUACCGAUCCGACAACAUAUAUAAAACUCGACGGGAAAAAUCAUAUUCAUCUAAAUUCUUUUCAUAAGGCUGAAAUAAUCAACAACAAACAAUAUGAAAAAAUUCAAUUCAAUUCAGCAGGUAAAGCCAAACAAGCAAGGUCAGGUCUUCGAUUCCUCAAAUAAUCUCAUGCGCUUCUCCAUAGUAGAAGUUGAUGUACUUAGACUGGAUCUCUAUCACAGGAGGGUUUGGUGUUUGUUGUGGAUAAAUCUUGUAAAGCCUCAUGCUCUCAUAAUAGGCUUUCGCUUCCUGAUACUUUGGAUCCUCCUGCUCCUUCUCAUCUUGAUUAUUCGGAUUCAUCAAAUACGGCAUACAGAACAGGUAUUGCAUCCGACGUUCCUGCCUCAUCUGUGUGCAUACCAGCACGAAUAUCUGAGGCAAAUUCAAACGAAUGCAGGGAAACCAAUCCAUAUUCAUCUCACUCAUCGGAACUAUCUCCUUCUCUCCUCUCUGCACAGACCUGAACGCAAUCUCCAAAGCAAUAAAGCACAGAAUAGGCUAGUCCAAUAACAAAGGCUACAUUCCUGGAGGGGAAAAGGCUUUAUUCAUUUCAUGAUUCUGUUCCCUCAAUGCAGAUUUGUAAUCUCAGUUUCUUCUUUUUCUCCGAGUUCAUCUUGCCAGGAAAUUGCACUAAAGUGAGAACGUUGAAUUAGUACCAAAGACACCCCCCAAACGAGUCCUUCGGUAACGUCAUGAACAGGUGCUUUGAUUGCAUCUCAAUUGCUUACUGAAGUUAUUGGUCUACCCAAGCAAAUUUACAAACUUUGUUGUCUGAGAUAAUGGCUUGUGGAAAAGUGGAGGGACUGGAAGCGGAAAAUGUGGGAAGGACUUCAAGAGAAUUGUGGUUGGCUUGACUCUGAAGUCUGAAGUCUUCCCCAUGUCGUAGUCGGUGUGUUUCAUUAUUACUAAUUCCUAAAGCUAGGUUUUUGCGCGGGAGAAACCUCCAUGAGAUUUGAGCAUGGCUGGCUGGCUGGCAUGACUCGCCAGUCUUUUCCAACAUAUAGGUUUAUGCAUUGAAAUUGCCAACAAGUAUUUUUUUCCUUUAAUCAAAACUAAUCACAUGGUUUCUUUAAAGGUAUUUCACGUCCAAAGAAGAUAUUGUUUUAAUAGAAAUCACACGGUUUUUUUAAAGACAUUCUAGACCCAAAGACUAAGUCUUAUCAACGAACAUGAGUAAGAGGAUUAUUCACCAAUAGAACAACGAACGACUUGGUAAUUACUCAUAAACCGUAGUGCUGGUCGUGAUCGAGCAGAGUAAUGCAAGUGACUUCACUGACUUGUGUGAUAAUCUACUAAAAUUUUCUCAAGGAUUACACCAUUACAAUAUUUUGUCACUUAAUUUUCUUGUGGCAAAAGUAAUUUGUAACGACAAGUGGCCACAACAUCUGACAUCCACGACCGGGUUGGGAUUGAAAUCAGAAGUGACAGAUUUUGAGGGUUUGAAACUAACAUGGAUGUUGAUGAACCAAACAAAGGUACGCCCUUUCUCAAAACUCUGCCUUUUAACCCUAUCAGGGUCUUUGAUCAUAUAAUCCCUAACAGCUUUCCCACAUUUCCCCCAAAUUUACAGGGCGAACAUGAAAUGCAAGCAAAGCCCAUAAUUGUGAUCUUCGUCCCUAGGUUUGAAUCUGCCAGGUACAUUUGAUUAUUGUUUGAUAUCACAUGUGUUCGAUCAAAUGCCUCACAAGUUAAUGGAGUAUGCACGACUUGAUAAUGAGAACAAACUUGACAACUAGAGCACAUUUCUUUCACAUAUCACACUCACAUGCACAUAUAUAGAAGUUUGCCACAGAUUUAUUAGAAGAUGAACAAGCCAGCUCAACAUACAUGAAAGAUGCACAAGAAAGAAGCACAAAAAUUCUGAGCUGGUUCUAGUGAUAGAUAGGGUGCCUUGACUUCCAAGUCUUCCCCCAAUUUUCCAAAAAUUUAAACAGCCCACCAGAGAAAAACUGACUCGUAGUUAAGAGAUGUCCAGUGAUGUUACAGUGGUAGGGUAUUGAUCGAAAGGAACGGAUGUCCAGAAGUUCAACUUAUAAACCAAAAACUAGAAGAUAUUAGUCACUUUCACAAAAUCGGCUAUUCAAGCACUUAGUACACGGAAGCCCAUAUUAUAAGUUUCGGCUCAAGCCCAACUAAAGGCCCAAAACAGAUUGAUCCCCUCCCAUUUCCUGACUCCAUUUCCAAUCUUCGUCAAACCCCAGAGCUUCACACACCAAAGCUCUCAUCUUUCCUCCAAUGGCUUCCUUCAACCCAUCCGUAAACCCCCAAACCCACUCCCACCCAUCAACCUCCUCUCCCCUCGAGAACCUCCCUUGAACCUCCCUUAGACUUCAUCUCAAUCACAGGAGUGUUUGGUGUCUGUACUGUAUAAAUCUUGUAAAGCCUCAUACUCUCAUAAUAGCUUUUCGCUUCUUGAUACUUUGGAUCCUCCAUUAGCUUCUUCUUCGCUUCCUUCUCUUCCCUAAUCUUCUUCUUCACUUUCUUCACUUCCUCCUUCACAAACGCCAUGAACGCCUCCUUCUUGUCCUCAGUCAGCUCCUCGGCCUUGAUCAGCUCAUCAGUGUACUCCUCAACCUCAUCCAACUCCCAAUCAAACUGCACAAACAGCGGCGCUUGCGGCUCCCUCGGGAAGAGUAUAUCCACCACAGUAGUCUGCUCCUUCUCCUCCUCAUUCGGAUUCAUCAAAUACGGCAUACAGUACUGGAACUUCAUCCAACGGUCCUCCUUCAUCUGCUUCAAGCUCGCCUUCCUCUGCGUGCAUCCCAGCACGAAAAUCUGCGGCAAAUUCGAACCGGACUUGGCUCCUCUCUCGGAAUUCCAGCCUUCUCUUUGCUCCAGAGGAAUGUAAGGGAUCCAAUCCAUCUUCAUCUGCCUCAUCGGAACUAUCUCCUUCUCCUCUCUCUGCACAGACCUGAUCCCAAUCUCCAUCGACGGCGGCCGAGGCGCCACGACGGCGACCAGCGUCGGGAUCAGCACCGGCACCGACGGCGAAGAAGUCUCGGUCUGGCUGAAGAGGUAGACCUUGUUGUUUCCGAUGCCGUGGAAUUUGCCUCCUUCUUCUUCGAAUUCCUUCUCGAGAUUCGAGAAAUCCCAGUCGUAUUUGUAGAGUGAGUCCAAGCGAUCCCACUCGGUGCCGACCGGGAACGCCGCCUUCCAUAGAUCUUGAAGGUUUCGCUGCUCCUCCACGUACUCCGGUUCCGACUGCGGCUGCGGCUGAGAGGCCUUGACGCGCUUGGCGCGUGUGGCGGUGGCUUUGGGCUUGGCCUCCAUCGCCGCCGGGCGAGCCUUUUGCUUGGCUCCUUUCCUCAUUCUAGGGUUUGAAAUUUCGGACACAGAGAACGGCUAUGGAGAUUUGGGGGUUUGGUGAAGGUGUGUGUUUGUUUUGGUUUUUGGUAAUAACCCUACAAAUUUAAACGCCAAGGAGUCAGAAUUGGGCGUGCUAAUGAAGCGAAAACUAAAUAUAAAUGAUAUUUAAUUUUGGUCGAAAACAAUGGGCAAUGGGUUCUUUAAUUUGAAAGAAAAUUUAAGAAAAUUGAGAGAUGCCUUUCCAGUUUCGCACCUAGAUUUCAAAAUUGAAAUUUUUUCAAAUUUUGGUGUAUAGUGAGGCGAAGUGUUUGCAACCAUCACCAACGUUACGCAGUCAGAUUAUCAAUGAGGCGAUAACUUUGAUAACUUUGACGACAGUUUUGGUUGGAGUCUAUCGAUGUUUCUUGAUUUGUUGGUGAUUCAAAACUUUCUUUGAAAUGCGAGUCUGCGACGAUGUAUUUAUAGGAUACGACUUCUUAAUUGAUUAGAGUUAGGAAACUGUUUCAUGACAGGACUAUAACAUGUUACAUAAUUUCUUGAUGAAAAAACAAAGAGAUUAGAGUGAAGUCGUUUUAAAUUUGACAAAUCUUAAUUAGAUUAGAGUUAUUCAACCUAAAUACUGAAAUGGGCUUGUGCAACUAACAGAGGAAGGUCAUUCUAAGCUCAUGUUGAAGGAUGUGAAGGUUCAUCGACCAGUGCUUAAAAGCAAGAAACUCUAAUUCUCAAACAAAACUAGAGAGGGAGGUUAGACUUUCCUAAUAUGAAUAAAUUGGAAGAUUCGAGAUUUGUUAGCUUUAUAUUUAUUUGGAGUUUUUUUUUCUUUCGUUUAAAGGAAGAUGUGAUUCUUUAUUUGGAGUUUCUAAGUUUGCUAAGUUUGACCGCAAACCGUAGCAGCUCGUUUGCUAUACGGGUUUACGGGGACUGGACUAGCUUAUGUAAGCAAAUAAGCUGUGUCCUGUGUCUAGGUGAAACAAGAUUCGUUUUAAUGAAGUUGUGUAGUCUUCGUGUCUCUCUCCACACUUUCUUACACAAACCCCCCAAAAUUCACGGGUUUAUGUAACCCCAACUGAAAUCUCUUGUUUCUUCUCCUUGCUUCAACCUCGUCCAUCUCUCUCAGCAACGCUGCGUACAAUUGCAUUGGAAUAUCGAAGUACAAUUGUAGAAGAUCAUUGUUGUUAUAUACAAACACCAGCUAGGCUAUUCUAGGCAGGCUAUCAAUGAAGGCCUCCAUUAGGAGUCAAUGUGGCCUUCUCGGAUUCUAGAGCAGAUGAAACAUUGAUGCCAUGAUCCCCAACGGAAGAACAAGACGUAGAAAUGAACAACAAUGAUGAAGUAAGAGCAACAAAGAAAAUGAACUUGGGAGGAGCCAUCAGUUUGAACUUUGAAGUUUGAAACUUUGAACACAUUUGUUGUUGUUCAUGCAUAUUUCAUAUAUAGCUGCUCCAAUGUAGCCACUGACCAUGUUUGAUUUCAUUACGAGUCAUGACUCAUGACCAGCUAAGCAAGAAGGUGGGAGUUGCAUCUCUUUUUCAUUUUACUAAAAUGUGAUUAUCAGAGAUGACUGAAUUAAGAUAGAUGCUCUUAGAUGCAUUUGUUUUUAGUUGAUAAAUGGAGUGUGAAAAUAAUUAUAUGGGAUAUAUUUCAAUGUGGUAGGUAUGGACUCACAUCACUCACAUAUGUAUAUUACUUGAUCGAAACAGAGUUGACAGCCAGUCUAUGCUUCUGCUUGAUAUGCAUAAGGCACAUUUUCAAGGGUAUGGUUCACAAUUUGGAGAAGAAAACUAAGAAAUCAUACAUAGCUAGUUUCUAAACCCAGUAAAAUCUUAUCAAUCAUAAAUGAUAUUUUUUUUUCCAACAAACAUAUAGUCGGUCCCAUACAAAUGGAAUCCUAAGGUGGAAUUCUAUACCACUUUAAGGUAAUUAUAUAUAUACAUGUCUUACUUUUGUAAUCGCUACAAACUUUUCACAUUCUGAUAAAUUCAUGUACAUCUUAAUUAAUAAUAUAGAGUGGUACCGUUUACAAACAAACUACAAAGUCAGAACCUAUGAUCAAGUAGUAGAUUGAGAAAAUCUUUCUUUUUUUCAUCAUGAUCCACAACUAGUGGAGUUAUGCAAUCUGAUUUGCUGGUAAAAUGUCGACUUUGGUUGAAUCAAAGGUCCUGGACUGAGGCUUGAUUCUGGAUGAUUGAUUGCUUGUGUUGAGCGUGUCUAUUCUGUCUUUUGCUUCAAGUGCACAGAUUGUCAUGUCAUGGACACAAUUUUACAUUUGUAAGCCUUGCACACAUAGCCGGCAAAAUUUUCAUAGUCCUGCAUUUCAUACAGACAAAAGUUAAGUUUGAUUCGGAGAGAGUGAGGGACGAAAAAAAGGGGGAGAUGGAGAAAAGAGGGAAGAAAGAGGACCAACAUUUCCAGUAGGUUGAUUAUUCAAAACCAGCCAUGGUACAAACUCUAGAGGUGGAUUGAGGUGCAUAAUUUCAUUGCCAUAGUUUUGUUCAAGCUGCAGUAAUCCAAUAAUGUCAAACAUAAUUGACAAGUACUUAUUAACAUCAUAUAUUCUUUUAAAUAGGAAUAUAGUAAGUAAAACAUGAAACCUUUGUUGCAUUUGAACAAUUGUAGCAAUCCAAAAUGUGUUUCUUAGGCAGUCCCAAUGAUCUGAAGCAAGUUUCCCACUCCUUUUGCCUUCCCUCUAUGGCCAGAAAUUCUAUGUAGUAAAUCAAAGCAAAGUGCUUGUUCUGCAUCACAAAAUCAAAUUUCAAAUCGAUUUCUUACUCAAUAAAUUGAUAACCUUUCAUUGAAACUCAUUUUUGUCUCACCACAUCAUGCAUAACAUCGAUAGCGCAUGAUUGCAGAGAAUUCAACUUGCAUUGAUCUGGCCUAUGCUGUGAAAGUAUCACAGAAAGAACAUAUGCAUCACUUUAAUGAUUUUAUAAAAAUGUUGCAAAAACUUUGAACAAAUGGUAUUGGUACAAAUAAUGAUCAAUAUAAACCUGACAGAAAGCAGUGCUGUUGUUCGAUUUGUUGGCGUAUACAUCACCCCAAGGAACCAGUCUGAGAUUAAAGAUGGUGAUGAGAUUAUCAUCGAAAAUCUUAGCAAGAUUUUUUACAAUGAAGGUAGCACAAGAUAUGCUCAAAGUGUCAUAGUAAAGUGACAAAGUAACUUUCUGGUUAGCAGCAAAACAUGGAAAUGUGAGCAAGAACAUUGAACAGGUAAUGAGACAAGUAAAGAAUAAUCGAGCAGAUGCCAUUUUUUGCAGUUAGAUCUGUUUUAUAAUUGUGCACAUAUGAUGUAGUAAUAGUUUCCCUCCUCUCUUUUAAUUGCUUUUGUUGGGUUUGGUACUCUGAUAUAAAUGAUGGCCAGGUCAUAAGCAUAUCCUUGGACAAGUUUAUGCAGAAAAUGAAUGCUUCUUGUUAAUUAUACAAUUUUGGGCAAAAAAAAAUCAUCCAACCAUGUGAGCAAUGAUCAACUAGAGAGCAGCAGCAUCAGCAGGGUUAUAGAUCAAUGUCACACCUACCUGCUACUAUUACUUUGCCAUAACUUAAUCAUCUCAAUCAUAAGUACAUGAAGGUGGCAGUGAAAAGCCUUCAAAUUUUGACAAGAAUAAUUUAGCAGUAACAAAACAUGGAUUGAAAACACACACAAAAGAUAAGAACACUAUCAGACCAUAAAACCUUAUAGGUCAGCUUCAACUAUGUCAUAUCAAUCAACAUUAGGUUCGAUUAACAUAUGGAAUGUCAAUGUAAACUUUAUGCCACAUUGUCUGCUCCUAAGGCUUAAGAUGUAGAGUUUCUUCCUUGUUCUGCUAAACAAACUUGAGGAAUUGAUCUUUCAUUCCCAAUUGAUUCGGUCAUGAAUUUAUCAUAGUUCUACAUGGACAAAAUUGGUCAACAGGGGGUCAAAGAUUGAGGAAAUAAGAAAUCCAAAAUGUGAUUAUUGAGAGACUAACAUCUGCAAGUGGUUUAUUAUUGACAACCAACCAUGGCACAAAUCUAUGUGGUGGAUUAAGCUGAGCAGUUUCCUUUGCAUAUUUUGUUUCAAUCUAUGCAUCAAUGCCAAAUUGCCAAUCCGUGAAGAUUAAUUUUGUCAAGGCUCAAAUGAUGAAAAAGUUCAAAAACAUCCAGAACAAAGUCGGACUGAAAAUGAAGUGACCUGAUUGCCAUAUCCACUGUUGUAGCAAUCGAUAGGAACAGUCCCUAACUUCAACAUUUCAAAGCAAUCGGCUCAUUUUUCGUGCUUGUUGUGCAAUGUGAGCUGCUCAACGCAGUGGAUGAAUCUAAAAUGUCGAUUCUGCAUCAUAAUUAAUCCACCGUAGUUAGUAACCAAACUAAAGUUUUAAGCGUCAUAUGCACAUGUUUGGGAUAAAGUCUGUAAAAUCUUUUCCUAGAGGCAUUGACAAGCUUUACCACAUUAGGAUAGAUGGUGAUGGUACAGGCCUCAAUUGUGUUAAGCAUUCAUCUGUUCCAUGUUGUACAACACAGAAGGGGUUAAAGGAAUAAUCAUAGAGCUACAAAACUGAUAGGUAUAGUAAAAUUCAAACAACCUCAACCUUUACUAAAAUAAUUUGGAUGAACCCUCCCCUAAUUUUUAGUACUUCUAAACUUCACACAUGUAAGCCUUCAGGGCUUGAGACAUGUCAAUGUCCAAAAACCAAAAAUACCCUUUCUCUCUUGGUGUGUGAUUUUGUCGUUUGAUUCAACUAGCUAGACUUUUCAGUAAUUCAAUAACAUGCCUAUGUAAAUGUAAAUUCUACAAGUACAAAGGUAAAAUUGUAAAUGAGAUUAACACAUGGGCAGUUAAUUUAAAAAGAUGGAAAGAUAAGGCGGCGUACAUUCAAAACGACGUCAUACUUAGAGAGAUAAAAUAGACACUGAGGUAGCUGGAAGAAGAUGAGUGAGUAGCUGAAAAGAAAAGAAGGGGAGGCGAUUGGGGUGGAGAAAGCUGACCUGGCAGGCGAAAGAGCCAUCAGAAUUGAGCCAAGCGUUGCCCCAAGGGACCAUUCGGAGGUUGAUGACGGAUAUGAGCCCAUUGUCAAAGAUCUUGGUCAAAUGGUUCACAAUGAAAUCGGCACAAUAAGGACAGAGUGUCUCGUAGCAGAGAGUCACACUCACAUUCUCUGCAGCAUAAGAUCGAGAUGGGUUUGAGACCAAGAGGAAGAAGAGGAGGAAGAGUUUGGGAAAACCCAUUUGGUAGAUUUAGAUCACAGGGAUUGUGACUCUGUGUGUUUUAUAUGUAAGAACUAUAUGUAAGACUGAGAUUUAAACCGUAGUGAAUGCUUGUAACUAUCUCAACUUUUAGGGUGGUGGGUAAUUAUAUCUAUCCCUAUGUCUUCUUGCUUUCUUUCUUUGUGGGUGAGGGUCAUUUCUGUUCAUAUUCCAAUGGAAUCAUCAAGAAUGGAUUCAAGCAUUUGUUCAUUAUCACAUAUAUCUUCGGUCUUCCUAUGUGUAUGGAAAAAUAAAUGAUGGAGUAACAUUUCAUACCUUGAGGGGAUAACAUUUUAAAAGCUUUCAUUUAUGAGAUCCUCCCGUUCCAAGUCUCUUUACCAUUCCCUGUGUCUUUCAACCAAAUGGCCACAAAAUCCAUAAAUUACGUACAAAACAUAAUUAAACUGAUUUAACUUUUUUUUUUUUUUNNNNNNNNNNNNNNNNNNNNGACCUAAUGUUGUUUUGUGUGGUUUUGCAGUUGCUUCGACCAAUUUAUAGGCAAUUUGCAGAUAAUCAAAACGCAGAAAUAUUUUCUGCUAACCCAUUGCUUGUUAUUCUAGGAACAAGUCUUCUCACUGCUAGGGUAGGUUCUGCAUUUAUUAAAAACUUUAUAAUAUUCCUCUUUAGUGCUAUAAAGCUCUUAAUCUUUACCUCUUAUGUACAGGCUGGACUGUCCAUGGCACUGGGAGCAUUUUUGGCUGGUUUGCUUCUUGCGGAAACUGAAUUUUCCUUACAGGUUGAGUCAGACAUUGCUCCAUAUCGCAGCCUUCUAUUGGGUCUCUUUUUCAUGACGGUAUGUGCUUCAUGGUGGCAACUUGUUAUUUCCUUUCUUUCACACCCAUAUUAUAAUGUUUGAUAUCAAUUACUGUUAACAAUCUUAAAAAUAUCAGUCUAUGGAUACUGGAUAGGAUCAAGAGUUCUUGUCUUGGACAUGUAGUGAACUGUCAGCCUAUUGAUAUGUGUAAUGUCAUCUUUAACAACUGUUUGUGAAUUUUCAGGUUGGAAUGUCUGUUGAUCCAAAACUUCUUGUUUCAAACUUCCUCGUUGUAGUUGGAUCAUUAGGACUCCUACUCGUCAGUAAAUCCCUGUUGGUUGCUUUAAUUGGCAAACUAUCUGGCAUUUCAAUAAUUUCAGCAAUAAGAGUUGGUCUUCUUCUUGCCCCUGGUGGAGAAUUUGUAUUUGUUGCUUUUGGUGAAGCUGUUAAUCAGGUUGGUUUCUUUAUUAACUACAAUGUGGGUAAAUUGCUUGUUUGCUAUACUAUUCGCAGCUAUACAAUUUAUCUGUAUAUAUAUGUACAUUUAUUUAUUUUCUCAUCUGGUCUCUUUGGUUCCUAAAUGCAUUUGAUAUUCUUACAUAUAUAAUUUCUUUUUUCAAAAGAAAUUUCUUAUACUUGUUAACCAAUAGAAGAGAGGUUUCACUGCUAAAUUAAGUAAACAGGGUGAAAACUAUAGUAAAUGGUUGAUUUAAUUUUUAAAUAUUAGUCAUCUAUAAAUUUGCUAAUAUCUAUUGAUAAACUGUUUUGCUGAUUUGUGCAUCUACAGCUUAAUUCCUCUAAGGUAGUCUUUAAUGAUGAAUGAAUUAAAGACUAAACAAAUAUUUGAUUAAGUAUUCCUUUUGUUAUUUUCAAAAACAAAAUAACGACAUCUCAUAUACACAAAUUGAUUAAGUAGGACUACGGUAGCUUUCUCUCAUUUUCAAUCCAAACAAACAAAACAAAUAUUUGAUAAAAAUAAAAUAAAGGUUGCCUAUUUUUCAAUCUUCUGCAAACAAAGAUUGCCUUUUUUCAAUCUUUUGCAAACAAAGGUUGCGUUUUCCCGAAAAUUAAAAAGUUGCCUUUUUUCAAUCUUCUGCAAACAAAGGUUGCCUUUUCCCGAAAAUUAAAAGGUUUGUUCAAUCUUCUGCAAACAAAUGUUGCCUUGUCCCGAAAAUUAAGAGGUUGCCUUUUUUUCAAUUUUCUGCAAACAAGUCACACUAUGGUAGACUUGAUGCCCCUAUUUCCGGAUAUGUUGCCUUUGUCUUGAGAAUUAUAUUGUUGCCAUUAUGUAAGUCUGAAACCGGGUUUGGUAUUAAACCAUCCAACAAGCUUCGAUUUGUGUUUGCUUAAAUCUAUGUGAUUUUGAGAUUAAAAAUAAUGGUGCUCCCUUUUUUCCUGAGGUUGAAGCACCGCCUUUGAAGAUUGGUGCUCCCUCUUUUCUAGGGGUUGAAGUGCCGAUUUUAAAGGUUGUUGUUUUUGUCUGCUAUAUGUUGCCUUGGAUUAAGAUUCAUGAUUAUGUUGCCACGGAUAAUAUUGUUGCCUUGGAAAAGAGAGAGAGAAAGGUUGCCUUUUGUUCAAUCUUCUGCAAACAAACGUUGCCUUGUCCUGAAAAUUGUUCAAUCUUCUGCUAACAAAUGUUGUUCUGUCCCGAAAAUUAAAAGGUUGCUUUUUUUUCAAUCUUCUGCAAACAAGUCACACCAUGGUAGACUUGAUGACCCUAUUUCCGGAUAUGUUGCCUUUGUCCCGAGAAUUAUACUAAUGCCAUUAUGCAAGUCUGAAACCAGGUUUGGUAUUAAACCAUCCAACAAGUUUCGAUUUGUGUUUGCUUAAAUCUAUGUGAUUUUGAGAUUUAAAAUAAUGGUGCUCCCUUUUUUCCUGGGGUUGAAGCACCGCCUUUGAAGAUUGGUGCUCCUUCUUUUCUAGGGGUUGAAGUGCCGGUUUUAAAGGUUGUUGUUUUUGUCUGCUAUAUGUUGCCUUGGAUUAAGAUUCAUGAUUAUGUUGCCUCNNNNNNNNNNNNNNNNNNNNNNNNNNNNNNNNNNNNNNNNNNNNNNNNNNCAACCCACAUGUGAAUCCAAUCUCAACACUGAUAACAUUCCAAUCAAUCUCAUCUCCAGAAUUUGGAUGAAUUUUUUCUGGUUCCGGAGGUGACAACCUUGUUUUGUUUUCUUCGGUCAAGGGAGGCCCGAACAAACCUUUGUUUCCUUCAAAGGAAGAUUUUGGAAAUGUUGUAAAUUGAUUACUGCUCGGAAUUCUGCCCUCGAGUUGAUUGUUUGAGAGAUUCAAGAAUGAAA